GCCUGGGUGGCUCAGUCAGUAGAGCACGCGACUCUUGAUCUUGCGGCUGUGGGUUCGAGCCCCACAUGGGGCA
RNAcentral lists this transfer RNA (73 nucleotides) under Ailuropoda melanoleuca (giant panda). It matches the Rfam family "tRNA". From Rfam's summary of the family: Transfer RNA (tRNA) molecules are approximately 80 nucleotides in length. Their secondary structure includes four short double-helical elements and three loops (D, anti-codon, and T loops). Further hydrogen bonds mediate the characteristic L-shaped molecular structure. tRNAs have two regions of fundamental functional importance: the anti-codon, which is responsible for specific mRNA codon recognition, and the 3' end, to which the tRNAs corresponding amino acid is attached (by aminoacyl-tRNA synthetases). tRNAs cope with the degeneracy of the genetic code in two manners: having more than one tRNA (with a specific anti-codon) for a particular amino acid; and 'wobble' base-pairing, i.e. permitting non-standard base-pairing at the 3rd anti-codon position. Lineage: Eukaryota; Metazoa; Chordata; Mammalia; Carnivora; Ursidae. The record is from Rfam by way of RNAcentral.